CAGCCGCCACGGUAAUACGAAGGGUGCAAGCGUUAAUCGGAAUUACUGGGCGUAAAGCGCGCGUAGGUGGUUUGUUAAGUUGGAUGUGAAAUCCCCGGGCUCAACCUGGGAACUGCAUUCAAAACUGACUGACUAGAGUAUGGUAGAGGGUGGUGGAAUUUCCUGUGUAGCGGUGAAAUGCGUAGAUAUAGGAAGGAACACCAGUGGCGAAGGCGACCACCUGGACUAAUACUGACACUGAGGUGCGAAAGCGUGGGGAGCAAACAGGAUUAGAUACCCCCGUAGUCCCUGUCUCUUAUAC
RNAcentral lists this ribosomal RNA (301 nucleotides) under uncultured bacterium. RNAcentral's name for it is "partial 16S ribosomal RNA". It matches the Rfam family "Bacterial small subunit ribosomal RNA", at positions 509 to 807 of the family's 1533-position model. The record is from RNAcentral.